AACUUUCGGCAAUGGAUCUCUCGGCUCUUGCAUCGAAGAAGAACGCAGUCCAUUGCGAAAAGUCAUGCGACAUGCACACUUUGAGAAGCAUUACUCUUUGAACGCACCUUGCGCGUGGAAGGACUCUUCCACGAGGUCCUGUUUGAGCAAGAGAAGCAAAUGAUACGUGGCCGCUAAGAGCACUAGUUGAACUUGGCGGCUCAAAGAGAUGCGGGCCCGAACGACUCUAGGGCAGGCGAGCGCGACGCCGUGUUCAAGCAUCACGCGACGCACUCACCUUUAACGCAGGACAGAUGUCUCACACUCACCUGUGAAACACCAACACACACUACCCUUCUCAAAUCAGGAUAGAGGACCCGCUGAACUUAAGCAUAUCAAUAAGCGGAGGCU
RNAcentral lists this unclassified non-coding RNA (390 nucleotides) under uncultured Basidiomycota. Its description in RNAcentral is "sequence contains ITS2". The stretch from base 1 to 152 matches the Rfam family "5.8S ribosomal RNA". Lineage: Eukaryota; Fungi; Basidiomycota. The record is from RNAcentral.